This 492-nucleotide ribosomal RNA is filed under the name uncultured bacterium. RNAcentral's name for it is "SSU rRNA". It matches the Rfam family "Bacterial small subunit ribosomal RNA", at positions 26 to 521 of the family's 1533-position model. The record is from RNAcentral.
AGGACGAACGCUGGCGGCGUGCCUAACACAUGCAAGUGGAGCGACGAACCAGGCUUCGGCCUGGGGCAAAGCCGCGAACGGGUGAGUAACACGUGGGUAACCUGCCCCGAUGAUUGGGACAACCCGAGGAAACUCGGGCUAAUACCGAAUGUGCCCUCCGACCAUAAGGUCGCUGGGGAAAGGAAGCUUCGGCCUUCGCAUCGGGAUGGGCCCGCGGCCCAUUAGCUUGUUGGUGAGGUAACGGCUCACCAAGGCAACGAUGGGUAGCUGGUCUGAGAGGACGAUCAGCCACACUGGGACUGAGACACGGCCCAGACUCCUACGGGAGGCAGCAGUGGGGAAUCUUGCGCAAUGCGCGAAAGCGUGACGCAGCAACGCCGCGUGGGGGAAGACGGCCUUCGGGUUGUAAACCCCGUUUCUAGCAGGACGAAGCCGCAAGGUGACUGUACCUGCAGAAGAAGCACCGGCUAACUACGUGCCAGCAGCCGCGGU